UCAUUACCGAGUGUAGGGUUCCUAGCGAGCCAACCUCCCACCCGUGUUUACUGUAACCUUAGUUGCUUCGGCGGGCCCGCCUUUAAGGCCGCCGGGGGGCAUCAGCCCCCGGGCCCGCGCCCGCCGGAGACACCACGAACUCUGUCUGAUCUAGUGAAGUCUGAGUUGAUUGUAUCGCAAUCAGUUAAAACUUUCAACAAUGGAUCUCUUGGUUCCGGCAUCGAUGAAGAACGCAGCGAAAUGCGAUAACUAGUGUGAAUUGCAGAAUUCCGUGAAUCAUCGAGUCUUUGAACGCACAUUGCGCCCCCUGGUAUUCCGGGGGGCAUGCCUGUCCGAGCGUCAUUGCUGCCCAUCAAGCACGGCUUGUGUGUUGGGUCGUCGUCCCCUCUUCGGGGGGGACGGGCCCCAAAGGCAGCGGCGGCACCGCGUCCGAUCCUCGAGCGUAUGGGGCUUUGUCACCCGCUCUGUAGGCCCGGCCGGCGCUUGCCGAACGCAAAACAACCAUUCUUUCCAGGUUGACCUCGGAUCAGGUAGGGAUACCCGCUGAACUUAAGCAUAUCAAUAAGCGGAGGA
RNAcentral lists this ribosomal RNA (573 nucleotides) under Aspergillus sp. CCN28. RNAcentral describes it as "eukaryotic LSU rRNA". The stretch from base 189 to 342 matches the Rfam family "5.8S ribosomal RNA". The record is from RNAcentral. Lineage: Eukaryota; Fungi; Ascomycota; Eurotiomycetes; Eurotiales; Aspergillaceae.